GGAGAAGGUCCCAAGGGUUGGGCUGUUCGCCCAUUAAAGUGGCACGCGAGCUGGGUUCAGAACGUCGCGAGACAGUUCGGUCUCUAUCUGCAGUGGGCGUUAGAAAUUUGCGUGGAUCUGACUCUAGUACGAGAGGACCGAGUUGGACGAACCUCCGGCGUACCGGUUGUCGCGCCAGCGGCACGGCCGGGUAACCGCGUUCGGCAGGGAUAAGCACUGAAAGCAUAUAAGUGCGAAACCCACCACAAGAUAAGAUUUCUUUAUAAGGGUCGUGGGAGACCACCACGUCGAUAGGCUACAGGUCUAAAGGCAGUAAUGUCAAAGCCGAGUAGUACUAAUCACCCGUAAGUUUUA
RNAcentral lists this ribosomal RNA (354 nucleotides) under Flavobacteriales bacterium. Its description in RNAcentral is "bacterial LSU rRNA". It matches the Rfam family "Bacterial large subunit ribosomal RNA", at positions 2555 to 2925 of the family's 2925-position model. Lineage: Bacteria; Pseudomonadati; Bacteroidota; Flavobacteriia; Flavobacteriales. The record is from RNAcentral.